This is a non-coding RNA of Salmo salar (Atlantic salmon), 54 nucleotides long. The record is from Rfam. NCBI's taxonomy places the organism in Eukaryota, Metazoa, Chordata, Actinopteri, Salmoniformes, Salmonidae.
UACUCGCAUUACUGUAAGUCGCUUUGUAUAAAAGCGUCUGCUAAAUGGGAAUAU